RNAcentral lists this RNase P RNA (345 nucleotides) under uncultured Anaerobutyricum sp. RNAcentral describes it as "Bacterial RNase P class A". It matches the Rfam family "Bacterial RNase P class A". From Rfam's summary of the family: Ribonuclease P (RNase P) is a ubiquitous endoribonuclease, found in archaea, bacteria and eukarya as well as chloroplasts and mitochondria. Its best characterised activity is the generation of mature 5'-ends of tRNAs by cleaving the 5'-leader elements of precursor-tRNAs. Lineage: Bacteria; Bacillati; Bacillota; Clostridia; Lachnospirales; Lachnospiraceae. The record is from RNAcentral.
GUCGGAUAAAUGAUCGCUCCUUCAAAGGCCGAAAGGCCGGAGGAGAGGAAAGUCCGGGCUUCACAGGGCAGGGUGCCGGAUAACGUCCGGUGGAGGCGACUCCAAAGAUAGUGCAACAGAAAUAUACCGCCCGCAUUUUCGCGUGGUAAGGGUGGAAAGGCGAGGUAAGAGCUCACCGAUUUCCUGGUAACAGGAGAUGCCAUGUAAACCUCACCCGAAGCAAGACCGAACAGAAAACCAUGAUCCGGCCCGGAUCGUUUUCAGGUGGGUCGCUGGAGUCUGCCGGCAACGGCAGAAGGAGACAGAUGAUCAUUCACGACAGAACCCGGCUUAUCGUCCGGCUCU